RNAcentral lists this ribosomal RNA (253 nucleotides) under uncultured bacterium. RNAcentral's name for it is "partial 16S ribosomal RNA". It matches the Rfam family "Bacterial small subunit ribosomal RNA", at positions 524 to 776 of the family's 1533-position model. The record is from RNAcentral.
UACGUAGGGGGCAAGCGUUGUCCGGAUUUACUGGGUGUAAAGGGUGCGUAGACGGCUUUGCAAGCCAGAUGUGAAAGCCCGGGGCUCAACCCCGGGACUGCAUUUGGAACUGUGUGGCUAGAGUGUCGGAGAGGCAGGCGGAAUUCCUAGUGUAGCGGUGAAAUGCGUAGAUAUUAGGAGGAACACCAGUGGCGAAGGCGGCCUGCUGGACGAUGACUGACGUUGAGGCUCGAAAGCGUGGGGAGCAAACAGG